This 545-nucleotide ribosomal RNA is filed under the name uncultured Verrucomicrobiota bacterium. Its description in RNAcentral is "bacterial SSU rRNA". It matches the Rfam family "Bacterial small subunit ribosomal RNA", at positions 8 to 526 of the family's 1533-position model. Lineage: Bacteria; Pseudomonadati; Verrucomicrobiota. The record is from RNAcentral.
AGAGUUUGAUCCUGGCUCAGAACGAACGCUGGCGGCGUGGAUAAGACAUGCAAGUCGAACGCUAAUCAUUUUGCAGCAAUGUAGAAUGGUUGGAGUGGCGCAAGGGUGCGUAACACGUGGGUAAUUUGCCGUGAGGACUGGGAUAACUUGCUGAAAGGCGAGCUAAUACCGGAUGUGGAGAUUGGAAGGCAUCUUCUGAUUUCUGAAGUUGGGGACCGAAAGGCCUGACGUUUCACGAUAAGCCCGCGGCCUAUCAGCUAGUUGGUGAGGUAACGGCUCACCAAGGCGAAGACGGGUAGCUGGUCUGAGAGGACGACCAGCCACACUGGAACUGAGAGACGGUCCAGACACCUACGGGUGGCAGCAGUCGAGAAUUUUUCUCAAUGGGGGAAACCCUGAAGGAGCGACGCCGCGUGGGGGAUGAAUGGCUUCGGCCCGUAAACCCCUGUCAUUUGCGAACAAUGUGUACUAUUUAAAAGAUGGUGCAUUGAUAGUAGCGAAAGAGGAAGGGACGGCUAACUCUGUGCCAGCAGCCGCGGUAAUAC